ACAUAUUGUGAGCUUGAUGAGUAGGGCGGGACACGUGGUAUCCUGUCUGAAUAUGGGGGGACCAUCCUCCAAGGCUAAAUACUCCUGACUGACCGAUAGUGAACCAGUACCGUGAGGGAAAGGCGAAAAGAACCCCGGCGAGGGGAGUGAAAAAGAACCUGAAACCGUGUACGUACAAGCAGUGGGAGCACGCUUAGGCGUGUGACUGCGUACCUUUUGUAUAAUGGGUCAGCGACUUAUAUUCUGUAGCAAGGUUAACCGAAUAGGGGAGCCGAAGGGAAACCGAGUCUUAACUGGGCGUUAAGUUGCAGGGUAUAGACCCGAAACCCGGUGAUCUAGCCAUGGGCAGGUUGAAGGUUGGGUAACACUAACUGGAGGACCGAACCGACUAAUGUUGAAAAAUUAGCGGAUGACUUGUGGCUGGGGGUGAAAGGCCAAUCAAACCGGGAGAUAGCUGGUUCUCCCCGAAAGCUAUUUAGGUAGCGCCUCGUGAAUUCAUCUCCGGGGGUAGAGCACUGUUUCGGCAAGGGGGUCAUCCCGACUUACCAACCCGAUGCAAACUGCGAAUACCGGAGAAUGUUAUCACGGGAGACACACGGCGGGUGCUAACGUCCGUCGUGAAGAGGGAAACAACCCAGACCGCCAGCUAAGGUCCCAAAGUCAUGGUUAAGUGGGAAACGAUGUGGGAAGGCCCAGACAGCCAGGAUGUUGGCUUAGAAGCAGCCAUCAUUUAAAGAAAGCGUAAUAGCUCACUGGUCGAGUCGGCCUGCGCGGAAGAUGUAACGGGGCUAAACCAUGCACCGAAGCUGCGGCAGCGACGC
This 821-nucleotide ribosomal RNA is filed under the name Shigella sonnei. Its description in RNAcentral is "partial 23S ribosomal RNA". It matches the Rfam family "Bacterial large subunit ribosomal RNA", at positions 392 to 1214 of the family's 2925-position model. Lineage: Bacteria; Pseudomonadati; Pseudomonadota; Gammaproteobacteria; Enterobacterales; Enterobacteriaceae. The record is from RNAcentral.